RNAcentral lists this long non-coding RNA (277 nucleotides) under Bos taurus (domestic cattle). RNAcentral describes it as "long non-coding RNA NONBTAT026007". Lineage: Eukaryota; Metazoa; Chordata; Mammalia; Artiodactyla; Bovidae. The record is from RNAcentral.
AAUAAGACACUUGAACCCCACUGUAUACACACAAGGAUAUACAUGUCAGGUCCUUAGCUGAAAUCAGCAAGAGCCUGUGAAGAUGACUUUGAUGAAGUAGGAUUUUUUAAUAAAUGAGAAAAUCAUUUCCCUUUUAUUCUUACAUUCUUGUCCCAAAUCAGAUCCUUUGAUUUUUGUCAUUUGCUGCUAAAAUGAAUUAGCUGAAGGUAAACAUUUGUGGUGACAUGAAUCCAGCUGUUUGAAAGACCUUUUUUGACUAACCCAUGACUGGAAAAUA